RNAcentral lists this transfer RNA (72 nucleotides) under Hydra vulgaris (swiftwater hydra). It matches the Rfam family "tRNA". From Rfam's summary of the family: Transfer RNA (tRNA) molecules are approximately 80 nucleotides in length. The record is from Rfam by way of RNAcentral. Lineage: Eukaryota; Metazoa; Cnidaria; Hydrozoa; Anthoathecata; Hydridae.
GGCUCAAUGGUGUAGCGGUAUGAUUCUCGCUUUGGGUGCGAGAGGCCCCGGGUUCGAAUCCCGGUUGAGCCC